GUCAUCCUCGUCAUCUUCAUCAUACAAUAUCUCUUUCUUUCUUUUACGCUCUUUCUCUUUCUCCCUCUCCUUCUCAUACUGCCUCUGCUUUUCUCUCUCUCUUUCUCGAUAUUCCCACUCUUUGAGACAUUCUUCAUACUGUCGCUCGGCCUCCUCAAACUUUCUUCUUUGUUCCCUCUCCUUCCUAGCUCGCUCCCGCUCUGUCUCUCUUUCAUAUCUCUCAAUUUCCCGCUCCUUAUCCCUUUUCAGAUCCCUCUCCCUAUCUCUUUCUCGACUUCUCCUGUCAUACCUUCUACUUCUGUCCGGUGAGCUUGUUUCAGG
This 321-nucleotide unclassified non-coding RNA is filed under the name Hevea brasiliensis (rubber tree). Lineage: Eukaryota; Viridiplantae; Streptophyta; Magnoliopsida; Malpighiales; Euphorbiaceae. The record is from RNAcentral.